This 85-nucleotide transfer RNA is filed under the name Actomonas lomoniglobus. RNAcentral describes it as "Synoicihabitans lomoniglobus tRNA-Leu". It matches the Rfam family "tRNA". Rfam says of the family: Transfer RNA (tRNA) molecules are approximately 80 nucleotides in length. Their secondary structure includes four short double-helical elements and three loops (D, anti-codon, and T loops). Lineage: Bacteria; Pseudomonadati; Verrucomicrobiota; Opitutia; Opitutales; Opitutaceae. The record is from RNAcentral.
GCCCGGGUGGCGGAAUUGGUAGACGCAGCAGACUCAAAAUCUGCCGUAGAGAUACGUGUGGGUUCGAGUCCCACCCCGGGCACCA